AUACUCUGGUUUCUCUUCAGCUCUUAUAAAUCUUUCGUCUUUUACUAAAGAUUUCCGUGGAGAGGAACAUUUAUGAGUUUCUACCAGACUCCUGUACCCCACUGGUCUGAGUCUGU
Non-coding RNA from Chelonia mydas (Green sea turtle), 116 nucleotides. Lineage: Eukaryota; Metazoa; Chordata; Testudines; Cheloniidae. The record is from Rfam.